This 488-nucleotide unclassified non-coding RNA is filed under the name Hevea brasiliensis (rubber tree). Lineage: Eukaryota; Viridiplantae; Streptophyta; Magnoliopsida; Malpighiales; Euphorbiaceae. The record is from RNAcentral.
AAUAAUAAUAAUAAUAAUAUUUCUCUUUUUGAUAAAUAUGAGAUUGAUAGAAUAUCAAGUCAACUAGAAAAAUACAUAGAAAAUAGUUCUAAAGAGAAAAUAAUUAAGAGUAGUCAUGAUAAAAAGUUUAAGAUUUUUAAAGGGUUUUUAUUGUUUAGAUAUUAUAAAAUGAUGUGUGUUACAAGUUCAUAUGAUGAUGUUGUGGUGAUGGAGAAAAAUGUUUACAACAAUUCACGGUUGCCGGAAAAGUCGCCGGCGCCGGUGGUGAAGUUUGACACUUGCCGGCCACAGAGAAAGCAUGUCUAGUUUGUCACGUCGUGGUCAGAGAUGGAUUUAAAAUUUUACUUUGAUGUAAUUAAAGGUUUCUAUCGUUGAAUUUAUUGUAUCUUUAAACUUGCGAGUUUGGAUAAAUUUGUAACGUAUUUCAUGUACAUAUUUAUUAUGUUACACAUUUAAAAUAUUGUAUUCGACUCCUCCUUUAAUGUUUG